RNAcentral lists this ribosomal RNA (474 nucleotides) under uncultured bacterium. Its description in RNAcentral is "bacterial SSU rRNA". It matches the Rfam family "Bacterial small subunit ribosomal RNA", at positions 330 to 793 of the family's 1533-position model. The record is from RNAcentral.
AGAGCACUCCUACGGGAGGCAGCAGUGGGGAAUAUUGCACAAUGGGCGCAAGCCUGAUGCAGUCCAUGCCGCGUGUAUGAAGAAGGCCUUCGGGUUGUAAAGUACUUUCAGCAGUGAGGAAGGUGGGUAUGUUAAUAGCAUAUUCAUUUGACGUUAGCUGCAGAAGAAGCACCGGCUAACUCCGUGCCAGCUAGCCGCGGUAAUACGGAGGGUGCGAGCGUUAAUCGGAAUUACUGGGCGUAAAGCGCAUGCAGGUGGUUUGUUAAGUCAGAUGUGAAAGCCCGGGGCUCAACCUCGGAAUUGCAUUUGAAACUGGCAAACUAGAGUACUGUAGAGGGGGUAGAAUUUCAGGUGUAGCGGUGAAAUGCGUAGAGAUCUGAAGGAAUACCGGUGGCGAAAGGCGGCCCCCUGGACAGAUACUGACACUCAGAUGCGAAAGCGUGGGGAAGCAAACAGGAUUAGAUACCCUGGUAG